GCCUACGGGGGGCAGCAGUGAGGAAUAUUGGUCAAUGGGCGCGAGCUUGAACCAGCCAAGUAGCGUGAAGGAUGACUGCCCUACGGGUUGUAAACUUCUUUUAUAAAGGAAUAAAGUGAGGCACGUGUGCCUUUUUGUAUGUACUUUAUGAAUAAGGAUCGGCUAACUCCGUGCCAGCAGCCGCGGUAAUACGGAGGAUCCGAGCGUUAUCCGGAUUUAUUGGGUUUAAAGGGAGCGUAGAUGGGUUGUUAAGCCAGUUGGGAACGUUUGCG
Molecule: ribosomal RNA, 272 nt
Filed under: uncultured bacterium
Lineage: Bacteria
Description: partial 16S ribosomal RNA
Rfam family: Bacterial small subunit ribosomal RNA
Source: RNAcentral